CUUAACCGUGUGCCAACGAGAUCGUGGAUCUCCACCGUCAAAUGGAUCAUGACGAUGGCGUGCUGGCGAUAGCCAUCAGCAUCUAAGGAGGUAAGAUGGUGGAGUAGAGUCCAGAUCGAGUUUGUUCUAUAGGGAUGUUGGGACUUGGGAGGAAAGAAGGGUGCCGGUCGUCGAUAGAAGGGAUGUGCGGAAGAGGAAGGGACGCGCUCUAAGAGCACGAAGAGUUGACGAACUCGAAAAAACAAAUCGCAUGCACGG
Molecule: long non-coding RNA, 258 nt
Filed under: Elaeis guineensis (African oil palm)
Lineage: Eukaryota; Viridiplantae; Streptophyta; Magnoliopsida; Arecales; Arecaceae
Description: long non-coding RNA (EGUI_LNC058265)
Source: RNAcentral